This 1164-nucleotide small RNA is filed under the name Pan troglodytes (chimpanzee). RNAcentral describes it as "retained intron". The record is from RNAcentral. Lineage: Eukaryota; Metazoa; Chordata; Mammalia; Primates; Hominidae.
UGUGUGUGUCUGUGUUUCUCUCUUUUUGCAAUUUUAUAGAAAAAGAAAAAAAAGCCCUAGAAGGGUAGAUACCACUCUGUGUAUAGUGCUUACAUUUGGAGAGGGAUGUUGGGGAGAUAGGGAUUUAUCCCAUAUUCUCCAUUGUGGCUGGCAAUUUUUUUUACAGAGACUAAACUUGUGUUUUACAUAAUGAACAAAUCAUGACUGUAGUAAAAAAUAAUCUAAUCUUUUGGCUUUCAUGUGUUUUGCUAGGAUUGGUCCAAAGGAAGAUUUUUUCCAUUGUUUGAAAUGUAACUUAUGCCUAGCUAUGAAUCUUCAAGGAAGACACAAGUGUAUUGAAAAUGUGUCUCGACAGAAUUGUCCAAUAUGUUUGGAGGACAUUCACACAUCCCGUGUUGUUGCUCAUGUCUUGCCAUGUGGACAUCUUUUACAUAGAACGUGUUAUGAAGAAAUGUUGAAAGAAGGCUACAGAUGUCCAUUAUGUAUGCACUCUGCUUUAGAUAUGACCAGGUAUUGGAGACAGCUGGAUGAUGAAGUAGCACAGACUCCUAUGCCAUCAGAAUAUCAGAACAUGACUGUGGAUAUUCUCUGCAAUGACUGUAAUGGACGAUCCACUGUUCAGUUUCAUAUAUUAGGCAUGAAAUGUAAGAUUUGUGAAUCCUAUAAUACUGCUCAAGCUGGAGGACGUAGAAUUUCACUGGAUCAGCAAUGACGAGCCUACGCAGUACUGGAGAACUUGGCAUUUUCUGAUAUAGAAAAAGGCUUUCCUUGGUAUCGUGUUAUCAUGUGUUGUCAUCUAUGCAUUAGAGUUGAUGUGUUUUGUACUAGUGUCACAGCAUAAAAUCAUAGUGCAAGUACGUAAGGAUUCAGGGUCUCUUGAUAGACUUAUCAUAGCUCUAUAUUGAAUGAAAGCCACUGUGCUUGUGUUUUGAUUGGAAAUACCUUUAGUGUCAGUAUUUUGGAAGCCAAUGAUGUUUGCCACUGAUACAUUCAUAGAAGUGUAUUAUAUUUUCAUGAAACUUUGCUUUAAGUGACACUACGCACGCAGUUCAUUUCUAGUUCUUGAUAGAACUGCACUUAAUUUUCAGUAGUAGUCUUGACUUUUUAAGGGCUGUGUUAUAUUAAGUUCUCCCUUACUGUUAAAACCUAAUUAAAUAUGCUUUA